RNAcentral lists this ribosomal RNA (530 nucleotides) under Halobacillus profundi. Its description in RNAcentral is "bacterial SSU rRNA". It matches the Rfam family "Bacterial small subunit ribosomal RNA", at positions 82 to 596 of the family's 1533-position model. The record is from RNAcentral. Lineage: Bacteria; Bacillati; Bacillota; Bacilli; Caryophanales; Bacillaceae.
GCUCGUGGAACGAGCGGCGGACGGGUGAGUAACACGUGGGCAACCUGCCUGUAAGACCGGAAUAACCCCGGGAAACCGGGGCUAAUGCCGGGUAAUACUUUUCUUCGCAUGAAGGAAAGUUGAAAGAUGGCUUCUCGCUAUCACUUACAGAUGGGCCCGCGGCGCAUUAGCUAGUUGGUGAGGUAACGGCUCACCAAGGCGACGAUGCGUAGCCGACCUGAGAGGGUGAUCGGCCACACUGGGACUGAGACACGGCCCAGACUCCUACGGGAGGCAGCAGUAGGGAAUCUUCCGCAAUGGACGAAAGUCUGACGGAGCAACGCCGCGUGAACGAUGAAGGUCUUCGGAUCGUAAAGUUCUGUUGUUAGGGAAGAACAAGUACCGUGCGAAUAGAGCGGUACCUUGACGGUACCUAACGAGGAAGCCCCGGCUAACUACGUGCCAGCAGCCGCGGUAAUACGUAGGGGGCAAGCGUUGUCCGGAAUUAUUGGGCGUAAAGCGCGCGCAGGCGGUUCCUUAAGUCUGAUGUG